UAGAGUUUGAUCAUGGCUCAGGAUGAACGCUGGCGGCGUGCUUAACACAUGCAAGUCGAAUGUAGCAAUACAUGGCGGACGGGUGAGUAACGCGUGAGCAAUCUGCCCAUAUCUGGGGGAUAACAGUUGGAAACGACUGAUAAUACCGCAUAACAUGGUUUGAAGGCAUCUUCUUUCCAUCAAAGAUUUAUCGGAUAUGGAUGAGCUCGCGUCUGAUUAGCUUGUUGGUGAGGUAACGGCUCACCAAGGCGACGAUCAGUAGCCGACCUGAGAGGGUGAUCGGCCACAUUGGAACUGAGACACGGUCCAAACUCCUACGGGAGGCAGCAGUGGGGAAUAUUGGGCAAUGGAGGAAACUCUGACCCAGCAACGCCGCGUGAAUGAUGAAGGUCUUCGGAUUGUAAAGUUCUUUUCUAAGGGAAGAAGAAAGUGACGGUACCUUAGGAAUAAGCCUCGGCUAACUACGUGCCAGCAGCCGCGGUAAUACGUAGGAGGCAAGCGUUAUCCGGAAUGACUGGGCGUAAAGGGUGCGUAGGUGGUUUGACAAGUUGGUAGCGUAACUCCGGGGCUCAACCUCGGCACUACUACCAAAACUGUCGGACUUGAGUGCAGGAGGGGCAAAUGGAAUUCCUAGUGUAGCGGUGGAAUGCGUAGAUAUUAGGAGGAACACCAGUGGCGAAGGCGAUUUGCUGGACUGUAACUGACACUGAGGCACGAAAGCGUGGGGAGCAAACAGGAUUAGAUACCCUGGUAGUCCACGCUGUAAACGAUGAAUACUAGGUGUAGGGGG
This 790-nucleotide ribosomal RNA is filed under the name uncultured bacterium. RNAcentral describes it as "bacterial SSU rRNA". It matches the Rfam family "Bacterial small subunit ribosomal RNA", at positions 1 to 829 of the family's 1533-position model. The record is from RNAcentral.